RNAcentral lists this long non-coding RNA (347 nucleotides) under Brassica napus (rape). Its description in RNAcentral is "long non-coding RNA (BNAP_LNC006677)". Lineage: Eukaryota; Viridiplantae; Streptophyta; Magnoliopsida; Brassicales; Brassicaceae. The record is from RNAcentral.
UGAGGUUGAACUUAGGUCUAGACGACCAUGAGUCAAACUUAUCUGUCAGUACAAGAAACAGAUUGUAUGAGAUCUAAAUUAAUUCGUCAGCAGCAGUAAUAUAUAUUUGAUAUUUGUGAGAUGUAUGAACGCCAUGGUUGCCUAGUGACUGAGUAACUCCGAUUCAAUCACAUGGUUCAUUCUGGGAGUUGAGUCACAAGACUAUCUAGAACCUAAGAUCAUUAUGUUAAAACAUUUGAAUGAGGCCCCCAGUUUAUGGGUCCCCCAAUUCCUGAAAAGUUAAUCAAAAAAAUGAGCUUAUAUAUUUGCAUGGUCGUAAAAGUAUAACGUUUAAGUACAUGACCCAA